Molecule: ribosomal RNA, 122 nt
Filed under: Candidatus Bathyarchaeota archaeon
Lineage: Archaea; Thermoproteati; Candidatus Bathyarchaeota
Source: RNAcentral
GUUGGCGGCCAUAGUUGGGGGCAAGGACCCGUACCCAUUCCGAACACGGAAGUGAAUCCCCCAAGCGAUCCAGGCUGUAGUGUUGUGCGAAAGCCUACGCGAAGCCUGGACAGCUGCCAACU